Molecule: long non-coding RNA, 1154 nt
Filed under: Olea europaea (common olive)
Lineage: Eukaryota; Viridiplantae; Streptophyta; Magnoliopsida; Lamiales; Oleaceae
Description: long non-coding RNA (OEUR_LNC013215)
Source: RNAcentral
UUAGAGUUAUAAAUCUUUGUCAUGAAACUAAACAAACAAAUCGAAUGGAUUUAACCGGUGUCCUAAAAAGUGCAUUUUGGCACAAAUCACCUAGCCACAUAGUCCACUUUUGUAUGCCUAGCUUGUUUAGGCUGGUAAAAUUCCGAAGCUUGACCUUGACAUCUAGUGACAUUUUACGCUUUUUAGAAUAUUGAAUUUAAUAUAUAUAAUUUCAAUAAACUAGUUACAUUCCACUGAUACUGUUUGGCCCCAAAUCUGGAUACACAAGUGAUAAUAGCUUUCAAAUUUCAUUUGGAAUAUAUUUUUCAAUCCAUUUAAACAUAAUUAUGCCCCUGUGAAGUUAUUGUCACGUGAUGUAUUUCUAAUAAUUAUUUGGAAAGUGCAUACAUGUUGAAAAACGUUUAUCAAAAAUUGUAAAAUGCUUGUGUCAACCUAAAUUUCAUUAAAAUUUUCCAUCAACAUUAAAACCUUUGUUAUAUAUGAGAACUUUAAAUUUAGAUUUUUGUUAUAAAUAUUUUUGAUGACUAAAUAAACAAAUUAAAAUAUAUUUAAUGAGUGUUCUAAAAAGAUUGUCCAUGCAUGAAUCCGGGUUUUGACUCCUAGCAACACUUUAUAUUUGUUAUGCCUAGCACAUUUAGGCUUGUAAAAGCUCGAAGUUUGGCAUUGAUGAUUCUACAUACUUUACGUUUUUAGGCUACCAAAUUUCAUAUAUAAAACGAAGUUUAGGAGAUCUAGUUACGUACCACUAAAAUUGUUGACUCCAAAAUAUAGAUAUACAAGUGCUGAUAGGUUUCCAAUUUCAUUUGGAAUAUUUCCUAUCAAUCGAUUUAAACAUAUAGAUUUUAAACUAUCAAAUGUUAAUUGAACACAAAUAGAUGUAAUGAAAUAGAAGACGUACAAACUAAUUUGAUUUUGUUGUGAUGAACCUACGAAGUUAUUGUUGAUUAACUAAUUUGAAGGGGAAGUACUAACUAAUUUGAAAUUGAUGGUUAAGUAACUAUGAAGUUGUUGUUGCAUGAUAUAUUUCUAAUAAUUUUUUUGCAAAAUGUCAUCCAAGCUGAAAAUUAUUUGUAAAAAGAUUGUAAAACGACUAAGAGAUAGCCUAAAGUUCACCUAGAUUCCCAUCAGCAUAAAAAACUUUGUUAAAGGAGACC